RNAcentral lists this ribosomal RNA (399 nucleotides) under uncultured bacterium. RNAcentral's name for it is "partial 16S ribosomal RNA". It matches the Rfam family "Bacterial small subunit ribosomal RNA", at positions 360 to 776 of the family's 1533-position model. The record is from RNAcentral.
AAUAUUGGACAAUGGGCGCAAGCCUGAUCCAGCCAUGCCGCGUGAGUGAUGAAGGCCCUAGGGUUGUAAAGCUCUUUUGUCCGGGACGAUAAUGACGGUACCGGAAGAAUAAGCCCCGGCUAACUUCGUGCCAGCAGCCGCGGUAAUACGAAGGGGGCUAGCGUUGUUCGGAAUCACUGGGCGUAAAGGGCGCGUAGGCGGCCAAUCAAGUCGGGGGUGAAAGCCUGUGGCUUAACCACAGAAUUGCCUUCGAUACUGUUUGGCUUGAGACCGGAAGAGGUCAGUGGAACUGCGAGUGUAGAGGUGAAAUUCGUAGAUAUUCGCAAGAACACCAGUGGCGAAGGCGGCUGACUGGUCCGGAUCUGACGCUGAGGCGCGAAAGCGUGGGGAGCAAACAGG